AGAGUUUGAUCAUGGCUCAGAUUGAACGCUGGCGGCAUGCCUUACACAUGCAAGUCGAACGGCAGCACGGGAGCAAUCCUGGUGGCGAGUGGCGAACGGGUGAGUAAAGUAUCGGAACGUGCCCAGUCGUGGGGGAUAACGUAGCGAAAGCUACGCUAAUACCGCAUACGAUCUAUGGAUGAAAGCGGGGGAUCGCAAGACCUCGCGCGAUUGGAGCGGCCGAUAUCAGAUUAGGUAGUUGGUGGGGUAAAGGCCUACCAAGCCGACGAUCUGUAGCUGGUCUGAGAGGACGACCAGCCACACUGGGACUGAGACACGGCCCAGACUCCUACGGGAGGCAGCAGUGGGGAAUUUUGGACAAUGGGCGCAAGCCUGAUCCAGCAAUGCCGCGUGCAGGAUGAAGGCCUUCGGGUUGUAAACUGCUUUUGUACGGAGCGAAAAGGCUUCCACUAAUACUGGAGGCUCAUGACGGUACCGUAAGAAUAGGCACCGGCUAACUACGUGCCAGCAGCCGCGGUAA
Molecule: ribosomal RNA, 520 nt
Filed under: uncultured bacterium
Lineage: Bacteria
Description: bacterial SSU rRNA
Rfam family: Bacterial small subunit ribosomal RNA
Source: RNAcentral